GGAGAGCGCAGCGCGAGUUCCCGCUACGCUUCGCAGGCUUUGGGUUCCUUUCGCUGAAGCCGGGAGAGUCUUGCUCUCCUGGCUUCAGCAAAAGGAACCCGAAGCCUGCAGAGCACAGCGGGAACUCGUGCUGCGCUCCA
Molecule: non-coding RNA, 140 nt
Organism: Podarcis lilfordi (Lilford's wall lizard)
Lineage: Eukaryota; Metazoa; Chordata; Lepidosauria; Squamata; Lacertidae
Source: the annotation of a GenBank genome assembly